RNAcentral lists this long non-coding RNA (387 nucleotides) under Capsella rubella. RNAcentral describes it as "long non-coding RNA (CRUB_LNC002558)". The record is from RNAcentral. Lineage: Eukaryota; Viridiplantae; Streptophyta; Magnoliopsida; Brassicales; Brassicaceae.
AUAAUCUUGUAAUUGUUAUGAAUGAUUUAGUGGAUACCCAUUAUAGGCCCAUUAGUCUAUUCACCAUAUUUGUAUCCCAAUAUAUACCAUGUGGUUAUCAAUAGAAUAAACACACAUUUUACCCUUUCAAUCUCUUUCUUAACAUGUUAUCAGCACGCUCUAACCCUAGUCGUCUGAAAAAAAAAAAAAAAAAACCUAACCUUCGAGUUGUUGCGCAACCAUCGCCGUUUCCGACGUUCUUCAUCACCAACAUCACCAACUUCUACUUUUCAGUUUCCUCCAUCGGUAAACAUUACAAAACCUAUCUAAUAUUUAUUAAUCAAAUCAUAGAUUCAUCUCAUAUCAUCGUUUGUAUGAUCUAUUAUAAUUAUAAAUAGUUAUGUUGGU